This 1650-nucleotide unclassified non-coding RNA is filed under the name Hevea brasiliensis (rubber tree). Lineage: Eukaryota; Viridiplantae; Streptophyta; Magnoliopsida; Malpighiales; Euphorbiaceae. The record is from RNAcentral.
UAACGUAUUUUAAAAUAAUAUAUUUCUUAAUAAUAGGUUUAAAUGCAAUACCAAACAUACCCGUACAGUGUGAGAAAUAGAGCAUUGUUCACGUGAAAGUGAUAAUGGUCACGAUUCAUCAUGUUCUCAAGAUAAAGAAGGAAAAAUAUACAUGUCCGCCUUCCUUUUUCCCCUUAUUAAAUAUCCAGGCUUGGCAGGACAAUUCCCAGUUCUAUUCCUCUUUCACACUCUGCAAUAAACAUUAAAACAGAAAUGCAUAAUCCGACAUUUUUUAUCUCAAAAAAUCAAUAUCCUGCUGCCGGCAUCACCAGCAUCACCUAGAUUAUUUUUCAUUUUUGCAAUUUUCAGGACGAGAGAACAAAAGAGACUGCGGCAGGGACAUUUUCUUUUAUUAGGAAGCCGACUCCUUUGCAAUCUUAUCGGCCUUCGCAAUCACCUCAUCAAUGCCUCCAACCAUGUAAAAUGACUGUUCUGGAAGGUCAUCGUAUUUUCCAUCCAAUACCCCCUGCCAAAAGCAAUUUCAUCGUCGUUAACGAAUCAAAAUCAUGACCACCUCAACACCUUAAAACAAGAUACCAAAUAAUGUGUUACAUCUACACACGUGCAAACCAUGCCCACGUUUCCAAACCCCAACACUAGGAAUAAAUAGUCACUAGUAAUAAAAUUAACAUUUAUUAAAAAUACUAAUUAAGAAGUUCAACCUCAAUGGCUAUCCAAUUUCAACUUUCACCUUGUUGAUUUUAACUGAAAUUUGAUAGCACCAACCAAAAACAGUUCCAGCAAAACGACAUCAAAUACACACCCUUCAAUUAUACAUAAACAUUGCAGGAAUACAUGUUUUAUGUACAUUUUUGGGAGAUUGUAUACAAGAUUAUAGUGCUCCUUGCACUUACAAACAUGUUGGUCCCUUGUGAGUAAAGGAGCAUGCUCCAGAUAUAUCUAAUAAUCUCCACUUUCAUAGUUCGGUUCAUAAUAUUCAAUGAUCAUUAAGACUACCCUUGUAUAAAUUCACACAACCUACACUAAAAGCAUGAUUAUCCCCACACAAACAAACAAAUAGAAGUCAUUUAAAAAAUCUAUGCAUAUACAGAAGUUCAUGCACAUGUUCAUCCCAUCAGUGAUUUCAAGAAUUCCUUGAUUUAAUAAAAGGGUAUAAUUGAAGCCCCAACAUAAGUUCUCGAAAACAAAGGUUCUAAAGAAAGAAAAUUUUUAUAAAAGACAAACCAAAAGCAUGAUAACAAAUCAAUGUGCAUGGGCAGAAAGGCUUGAGCUAGUUUGUGUUUGAAAGGAAAGAGGGACUGGGAAGGAUAGAGAGGUACCUGGAAGCUGGUUAUGCUCUCUUUCAACUCAACGUAUUUGCCAGGGGCACCCGUGAAGACUUCUGCCACAUGGAAAGGCUGGCUCAAGAACCUCUGGAUUUUACGAGCACGGGCAACUGUCAACUUGUCAUCUUCACUAAGCUCAUCCAUUCCCAAAAUGGCAAUGAUAUCUUGCAGAUUCUUGUAGUUCUGAAGAACCUUUUGCACUCCACGAGCAGUAUUGUAGUGUUCCUCACCCAAAAUAUGAGGAGAGAGCAUACGAGAUGUAGAAUCAAGGGGAUCCACAGCAGGAUAGAUACCUAGCUCAGAAAUCUGCCGUGACAACACAGUU